AUCUACAGCCAUGCCAUCCUGAACAAGCCCGAUGUCUGAUUUUGAAAGCUAAACAGGGUUGGGCCUGGUUAGUACUUGGAUGGGAGACCACCUAGGAAGACAAGGUGUUUUAGGCA
Molecule: ribosomal RNA, 116 nt
Filed under: Pteropus alecto (black flying fox)
Lineage: Eukaryota; Metazoa; Chordata; Mammalia; Chiroptera; Pteropodidae
Source: RNAcentral